CCUACGGGCGGCAGCAGUAGGGAAUUUUGCGCAAUGGGCGAAAGCCUGACGCAGCAACGCCGCGUGAUCGAGACGCCUUUCGGGGUGUAAAGAUCUGUCAGUGGGGACGAAACUUGCAGGGACCCACAGAGGAAGCACCGGCAAACUCCGUGCCAGCAGCCGCGGUAACAGGGGGGGGCAAGCGUUGUCCGGAAUAAUUGGGCGUAAAGAGUUCGUAGGCGGCACGUAAAGUCGGGUGUUAAAGCGAGGGGCUCAACUUCUGUACGGCAGUGGAUACUGGCGAGCUAGAUUGCGGUAGAGGUAAAGGGAAUUCCUGGUGUAGCGGUGAAAUGCUUAGAUAUCGGGAGGAACAUCGGUGGCGUAAGCGGUUUACUGGGCCGUAAUUGACGCUGAGGAACGAAAGCGAGGGUAGCAAAUAGGAUUAGAUACCCGGGUAGUC
RNAcentral lists this ribosomal RNA (439 nucleotides) under uncultured bacterium. RNAcentral describes it as "partial 16S ribosomal RNA". It matches the Rfam family "Bacterial small subunit ribosomal RNA", at positions 338 to 795 of the family's 1533-position model. The record is from RNAcentral.